GGAAAAAUGAGAAAUUUGAAGGGGGAGGGAUCCACACUUCCACUUGGUGGAGGAGAGAGAGAGAGAGAGAGAGAGAGAGAGAGAGAGAGAGAGAGAGAGAGAGAGAGAGAGAGAAAGAGAGAGAAAGAAAGAAAGAAAAGGAAGGAAGGAAGGAAGGAAGGAAGGAAGGAAGGAAGGAAGGAAGGAGGGAGGGAGGGAAGAAAGAAAGAGAGGAAGGAAGGAAGGAAGGAAGGAAGGAAGGAAGGAAGGAAGGAAGGAAGGAAGGAAGGAAGGAAGGAAGGAAGGAAGGAAGGAAGGAAGGAAGGAAGGAAGGAAGGAAGGAAGGAAGGAAGGGAGGGAGGGAGGGAGGGAGGGAGGGAGGAUAAUAUAUAUAUAGAUAUAUAACAGUAGGAAAGGGGU
RNAcentral lists this long non-coding RNA (399 nucleotides) under Monodelphis domestica (gray short-tailed opossum). Its description in RNAcentral is "lncRNA (ENSMODG00000050635.1)". The record is from RNAcentral. Lineage: Eukaryota; Metazoa; Chordata; Mammalia; Didelphimorphia; Didelphidae.